This 536-nucleotide ribosomal RNA is filed under the name uncultured bacterium. Its description in RNAcentral is "bacterial SSU rRNA". It matches the Rfam family "Bacterial small subunit ribosomal RNA", at positions 776 to 1329 of the family's 1533-position model. The record is from RNAcentral.
AAAUAGAUACCCGGGUAGUCCACGCCGUAAACGAUGGAUACUAGCUGUUGGAGGUAUCGACCCCUCCAGUAGCGGAAGCUAACGCGUUAAGUAUCCCGCCUGUGGAGUACGGUCGCAAGACUAAAACAUAAAGGAAUUGACGGGGACCCGCACAAGCGGUGGAUUGUGUUCUUUAAUUCGAUGAUAAACGAAGAACCUUACCAGGGUUUGACAUCCCAAGAAUUAUGCCGAAAGGCGUGAGUGCUUUAUUGAACUUGGUGACAGGUGAUGCAUGGCCGUUGUCAGCUCGUGUCGUGAGAUGUUUGGUUAAGUCCAUCAACGAGCGCAACCCUUGUGAAUAGUUGAAUUUUUCUAUUCAGACUGCCCCGGCAACGGGGAGGAAGGAGGGGAUGAUGUCAGGUCAGUAUUUCCCUUACAUCCUGGGCUAGAAACGCAAUCAAUGGUUAGUACAAUGCGCAGCGAAGCCGCGAGGUGAAGCAAAUCGCAUCAAAGCUAAUCCCAGUUCGAUAAGAGGCUGAAACUCGCUCUUGAAUCGG